Molecule: long non-coding RNA, 635 nt
Filed under: Mus caroli (Ryukyu mouse)
Lineage: Eukaryota; Metazoa; Chordata; Mammalia; Rodentia; Muridae
Description: lncRNA (MGP_CAROLIEiJ_G0003522.1)
Source: RNAcentral
AGAGAAUUUUGCCCGGGAGCGCACCUGUAGGUCCUUCUGAACGACGUCGCCAGGGAGAGAAAAAGAUAGUUUUGUUCUUGGCAUCCUGGCUUGGAGCAUCUGAGAAACAGCAAGUUUUCCCCAGACAUCGGUUCUGUAUUUCCCAUCGGAGCGAGUCCAGCGAAGAGCAGCAUGUUAAGACAUUAACUGCCCAAGGCUGUUUCCUUGGACUCCUUUAUCUGUGAAAUGAAGCAAAACUACACUGCUUGGAUGGAGUGAGAAAAGAAAGAGCUCAGUGAGAGCAAGUGACUUUCCCAACAUUAUGGAGAGAGGAGGUGCUGUUACUGGUACCAUCCUGGACCAAGGUCAGUACACUUGGCUGACUAAGCUCAGGAGGCAGUAAGCAGCCUCCAAAAAGCAGUGGGGGGCAGUGCAUGCAGUCUCUUCAUUGUCAAAACAACAGUAGGCUUCAUGCAGCCAAAUGAGUUCUCUUUAAUACCUUGAAAGGACCCUGGAAAAGCCUUGAGCCUGCGCAGUGUGACAAGGCCAGGAGAAAUCCUUCACCCUGUCCAUCUUUACUUAGCACCUCCCGUUUUGAUGUGAAGUUUCUAGGUUUUGUCAUGGCCACUGUGGUUGCUAUAGAAACAGAGCAACAA